CCAAAAUCUAUUAGAUGCGACCAUAUCGUGUGGUUCCGUGUCUAUAAAUUUUUCAUGAUUUGACCUCAAAUCAGGUAGGAACACCCGCUGAACUUAAGCAUAUCAAUAAGCGGAGGAAAAGAAAAUAACAAUGAUUCCCCUAGUAACUGCGAGUGAAGAGGGACAAGCUCAAAUUUUAAAUCUAUCGGGUUUUACCUGAUCGAGUUGUAAUUUGAAGAAGCGUUUUUUGCGUAUUUGGUCAGCCUAAGUCCUAUUGAAUGAGGCAUCAUGGAGGGUGAUAAUCCCGUCCGGUUGAUCAUUUGCGUUUUACGAUACGCUUUCUAAGAGUCAAGUUGUUUGGGAUUGCAGCUUAAAAUGGGAGGUAAAUUUCUCCUAAGGCUAAAUAACGGCGAGAGACCGAUAGCGAACAAGUACCGUGAGGGAAAGAUGAAAAGAACUUUGAAAAGAGAGUUAAACAGUACGUGAAAUUGUUGAAAGGGAAACGAUUGAAGCCAGUCGUACCUUCGGGUAAUCAGCCUUUCGGGUGCGAUUCUGUGGAGUGUGAGGAGCUUAAACACCUUCAUGUUUUGCAUAUUCGUACUCUUGGGUGUACUUGCCCGUGUGGUUGGUUAACAUCAAUUUUGGUGGUCAUAAAAUGACUGGGGGAAUGUAGCUUCGAUCUUGUAUUGAAGUGUUAUAGCCUUCGGUAGAUGUGAUGAUCGAGAUUGAGGAUUGCAACGGAUACCCUUUGGGGCUACCUGUCUGAUCUCUGAUCGUUGCUUUGGUGCCGAAAGCUUGCUUACGGUUAUCAAAGUCGAUGGUCAAUAGGUUAGAACGGGUUAAA
Molecule: ribosomal RNA, 823 nt
Filed under: Glomus sp. MUCL 46239
Lineage: Eukaryota; Fungi; Glomeromycota; Glomeromycetes; Glomerales; Glomeraceae
Description: eukaryotic LSU rRNA
Rfam family: Eukaryotic large subunit ribosomal RNA
Source: RNAcentral